Molecule: ribosomal RNA, 494 nt
Filed under: uncultured bacterium
Lineage: Bacteria
Description: bacterial SSU rRNA
Rfam family: Bacterial small subunit ribosomal RNA
Source: RNAcentral
AAAUGAAUUGACGGGGACCCGCACAAGCGGUGGAGCAUGUGGAUUAAUUCGACGCAACGCGAAGAACCUUACCUGCUCUUGACAUCCCUCUGACCGGACAGUAAUGUGUCCUUUCCUUCGGGACAGAGGAGACAGGUGGUGCAUGGUUGUCGUCAGCUCGUGUCGUGAGAUGUUGGGUUAAGUCCCGCAACGAGCGCAACCCUUAUCCUUAGUAGCCAGCGGUUCGGCCGGGCACUCUAGGGAGACUGCCGGGGUUAACCCGGAGGAAGGUGGGGAUGACGUCAAAUCAUCAUGCCCCUUAUGAGCAGGGCUUCACACGUGCUACAAUGACGACUACAAAGAGAAGCGAGUCUGUGAGGAGGAGCGAAUCCCAAAAAAGUCGUCUCAGUUCGGAUUGUAGUCUGCAACUCGACUACAUGAAGCUGGAAUCGCUAGUAAUCGCGAAUCAGAAUGUCGCGGUGAAUACGUUCCCGGGUCUUGUACACACCGCCCGU